Long non-coding RNA from Gallus gallus (chicken), 595 nucleotides. NCBI's taxonomy places the organism in Eukaryota, Metazoa, Chordata, Aves, Galliformes, Phasianidae. The record is from Ensembl.
GGUAGACAUGGAACAUUUAAGCUCCUUAUGGAUCUCAGCCUGGACUGUCAUUCAACCUUGAGAGAGCAUUGCUUCCUCAGCACUUGGCCUUUUGGAGAAAAAUAACACAGGCUGCAGAAGACCAGGCCAAUUAGAUGGAGCAGAGGUGAAACUCAACAGGAUAUUUCUACACCUCCAGGCGUACAUGAAUGAUUAUGGCUCUUUUGAGCCAGUGCACAUGACUCCCAAACUUUGAUCUGCUGCUGUCAAGACUGGAUCCUGGCCUCUCUGCUUGGGAAUUCCUAGGUGAAUUAGGAGCUGCAGAGCACGUUUGCAGUGAACACCAACUCACAAAGCCUCUAGUGGGCUUUUCAUGUCUCUUCAUUUUUACUCUCUUCUUCCUCACCCAUAAUGGCACCAUAAAGUGGUGGCCUAAAUUCUACUGGCUACCAGACUGUGCCAAGCUUUUGAUUAUUUCUGGCAGAAAAACAUCAGUGAUCACAGGUUGGUGAGGUGCAUCAUCUGCAUAACAAGAUCAGACCAAUUUACCAGCACUAACAGUGAAUUCAAAAAUUUGAGUACCUACCACAUGACAAAGAAGCGAAGACUAUAAAGU